Molecule: unclassified non-coding RNA, 396 nt
Filed under: soil metagenome
Description: partial contains 5.8S ribosomal RNA, internal transcribed spacer 2, and large subunit ribosomal RNA
Rfam family: 5.8S ribosomal RNA (bases 1-122)
Source: RNAcentral
GAUGAAGAACGUAGCGAAAUGCGAUACUUGGUGUGAAUUGCAGAAUCCCGUGAACCAUCGAGUCUUUGAACGCAAGUUGCGCCCGAAGCCAUUUGGUUGAGGGCACGUCUGCCUGGGCGUCACAUAUCGUUGCCCGAUGCCUAUUGGACUGUGAUAGGAAAUUCUAGGGCGAAAGAUGGCUUCCCGUGAGCGUUGUUGCCUCGCGGUUGGUUGAAAAUUGAGUCCUUGGUAGGGUGUGCCAUGAUAGAUGGUGGUCGAGUUUGCACGAGACCGAUCAUGUGUGCGCUCCCCAAAAUAUGGACUCUUUGACCCCACACGCGUCUUUUGACGCUCAUGACGAGACCUCAGGUCAGGCGGGGCUACCCGCUGAGUUUAAGCAUAUCAAUAAUCGGAGGA